GUGGUUUAAUUCGAUGCAACGCGAAACUUACCCACCUUUGACAUGGCAGGAAGGCUUCAGAGAUGAGGCUGUGCUCGAAAGAGAACCUGCACACAGGUGCUGCAUGGCUGUCGUCAGCUCGUGUCGUGAGAUGUUGGGUUAAGUCCCGCAACGAGCGCAACCCUUGCCAUUAGUUGCUACGAAAGGGCACUCUAAUGGGACUGCCGGUGACAAACCGGAGGAAGGUGGGGAUGACGUCAAGUCCUCAUGGCCCUUAUAGGUGGGGCUACACACGUCAUACAAUGGCCGGUACAAAGGGCUGCAAACCCGCGAGGGGGAGCCAAUCCAUCAAAGCCGGUCGUAGUCCGGAUCGCAGUCUGCAACUCGACUGCGUGAAGUCGGAAUCGCUAGUAAUCGUGGAUCAGCAUGUCACGGUGAAUACGUUCCCGGGUCUU
This 434-nucleotide ribosomal RNA is filed under the name uncultured Malikia sp. RNAcentral's name for it is "bacterial SSU rRNA". It matches the Rfam family "Bacterial small subunit ribosomal RNA", at positions 941 to 1382 of the family's 1533-position model. Lineage: Bacteria; Pseudomonadati; Pseudomonadota; Betaproteobacteria; Burkholderiales; Comamonadaceae. The record is from RNAcentral.